This 303-nucleotide long non-coding RNA is filed under the name Lathyrus oleraceus (garden pea). RNAcentral's name for it is "Pisum sativum (pea) long non-coding RNA (PSAT_LNC018171)". Lineage: Eukaryota; Viridiplantae; Streptophyta; Magnoliopsida; Fabales; Fabaceae. The record is from RNAcentral.
UUUCGUGGCAGAGGAGCUGGUAUUUAUAGUAGUAGUAGUGGUGACCUAAUGGGCUUAAAAUGAGGUCCAAAACUUCAAAUUCUCGCAAGCUUCGCUAGGCGAAGGAAUUGCUCGCCUAGCGAGCAAGCUAGGUCUGGGCUUUCCUCUGGAUCCAAUGCUUCGUUGGGCGAGCGGCAUGAUGAAAUGUUCGCUAGGCGAAGGAGCUGCUCGCCUAGCGAGCAAGCUGUUUUGGGCCGCCUUUGGACUGGGCCUGUUGUGGGCUGGGCUUUUGUCCAUUUGAUAUCAGUGCCUUGCAGAACAAGU